RNAcentral lists this ribosomal RNA (331 nucleotides) under uncultured bacterium. Its description in RNAcentral is "bacterial SSU rRNA". It matches the Rfam family "Bacterial small subunit ribosomal RNA", at positions 568 to 898 of the family's 1533-position model. The record is from RNAcentral.
CGCGUAGGUGGUAGUGCAAGUCUGAGGUGGAAUCCCAGGGCUUAACCCUGGAACUGCCUUGGAAACUAGCAUUACUUGAGUCAGUGAGGGGAGGGUAGAAUUCCUGGUGUAGCGGUGAAAUGCGUAGAUAUCAGGAGGAAGGCCGGUGGCGAAGGCGGCCCUCUGGCGCUGAACUGACACUGAGGCGCGAAAGCGUGGGGAGCAAACAGGAUUAGAUACCCUGGUAGUCCACGCCCUAAACGGUGGGCACUAGGUGUAGGGCUCGUAAGGGUUCUGUGCCGAAGGGAAACCAUUAAGUGCCCCGCCUGGGGAGUACGGCCGCAAGGUUGAA